This 73-nucleotide transfer RNA is filed under the name Mus musculus (house mouse). It matches the Rfam family "tRNA". From Rfam's summary of the family: Transfer RNA (tRNA) molecules are approximately 80 nucleotides in length. Their secondary structure includes four short double-helical elements and three loops (D, anti-codon, and T loops). Further hydrogen bonds mediate the characteristic L-shaped molecular structure. tRNAs have two regions of fundamental functional importance: the anti-codon, which is responsible for specific mRNA codon recognition, and the 3' end, to which the tRNAs corresponding amino acid is attached (by aminoacyl-tRNA synthetases). tRNAs cope with the degeneracy of the genetic code in two manners: having more than one tRNA (with a specific anti-codon) for a particular amino acid; and 'wobble' base-pairing, i.e. permitting non-standard base-pairing at the 3rd anti-codon position. RNAcentral also lists the same sequence under 1 other name. The record is from Rfam by way of RNAcentral. Lineage: Eukaryota; Metazoa; Chordata; Mammalia; Rodentia; Muridae.
GCAGGCAUGGCUCAGUGGUUAAGAGCACUGGCUAUUCUUCCAGAGGUCCUGAGUUCAAUUCCCAGCACCCACA